This 253-nucleotide ribosomal RNA is filed under the name uncultured bacterium. RNAcentral's name for it is "partial 16S ribosomal RNA". It matches the Rfam family "Bacterial small subunit ribosomal RNA", at positions 524 to 776 of the family's 1533-position model. The record is from RNAcentral.
UACGGAGGGUGCAAGCAUUAAUCGGAUUUAUUGGGCGUAAAGGGCGCGUAGGCGGGUUUGUAAGUUAGGUGUGAAAUUCCGAAGCUCAACUUCGGGACUGCAUUUGAAACUGCGAAUCUGGAGGGAUGGCGGAGAAAAUGGAAUUCCACAAGUAGCGGUGAAAUGCGUAGAUAUGUGGAAGAACACCGGUGGCGAAGGCGGUUUUCUAGCUAUUACCUGACGCUAAAGCGCGAGAGCAAGGGGAGCAAACAGG